This 773-nucleotide ribosomal RNA is filed under the name uncultured bacterium. RNAcentral describes it as "bacterial SSU rRNA". It matches the Rfam family "Bacterial small subunit ribosomal RNA", at positions 8 to 798 of the family's 1533-position model. The record is from RNAcentral.
AGAGUUUGAUCCUGGCUCAGGACGAACGCUGGCGGCGUGCUUAACACAUGCAAGUCGAACGGAAAGGCCCUUCGGGGUACUCGAGUGGCGAACGGGUGAGUAACACGUGGGUGAUCUGCCCUGCACUUUGGGAUAAGCCUGGGAAACUGGGUCUAAUACCGAAUAUGACCAUGCGCCUCCUGGUGUGUGGUGGAAAGCUUUUGCGGUGUGGGAUGGGCCCGCGGCCUAUCAGCUUGUUGGUGGGGUAAUGGCCUACCAAGGCGACGACGGGUAGCCGGCCUGAGAGGGUGACCGGCCACACUGGGACUGAGAUACGGCCCAGACUCCUACGGGAGGCAGCAGUGGGGAAUAUUGCACAAUGGGCGCAAGCCUGAUGCAGCGACGCCGCGUGAGGGAUGACGGCCUUCGGGUUGUAAACCUCUUUCAGCACAGACGAAGCGCAAGUGACGGUAUGUGCAGAAGAAGGACCGGCCAACUACGUGCCAGCAGCUGCGGUAAUACGUAGGGUCCGAGCGUUGUCCGGAAUUACUGGGCGUAAAGAGCUCGUAGGUGGUUUGUCGCGUUGUUCGUGAAAACUCACAGCUUAACUGUGGGCGUGCGGGCGAUACGGGCAGACUUGAGUACUGCAGGGGAGACUGGAAUUCCUGGUGUAGCGGUGGAAUGCGCAGAUAUCAGGAGGAACACCGGUGGCGAAGGCGGGUCUCUGGGCAGUAACUGACGCUGAGGAGCGAAAGCGUGGGGAGCGAACAGGAUUAGAUACCCUGGUAGUCCAA